Molecule: ribosomal RNA, 424 nt
Filed under: uncultured prokaryote
Description: bacterial SSU rRNA
Rfam family: Bacterial small subunit ribosomal RNA
Source: RNAcentral
UGGGGAAUCUUAGACAAUGGGGGAAACCCUGAUCUAGCCAUGCCGCGUGAGUGAUGAAGGCCCUAGGGUCGUAAAGCUCUUUCGCCAGGGAUGAUAAUGACAGUACCUGGUAAAGAAACCCCGGCUAACUCCGUGCCAGCAGCCGCGGUAAAACGGAGGGGGUUAGCGUUGUUCGGAAUUACUGGGCGUAAAGCGCACGUAGGCGGCUUGGUCAGUCAGAUGUGAAAGCCCAGGGCUCAACUCUGGAACUGCAUUUGAUACUCCCAAGCUUGAGGUCGAGAGAGGAGAGUGGAAUACCCAGUGUAGAGGUGAAAUUCGUAGAUAUUGGGUGGAACACCAGUGGCGAAAGCGGCUCUCUGGUUCGAUACUGACGCUGAGGCGCGAAAGCGUGGGGAGCAAACAGGAUUAGAUACCCCCGUAGUCC